GGAAAGCCAGGAACACAGUUUGAGCAGAGGAAUUUUUUUAACCACAGUCACUUUACUCAUAAGCACUUGAAAGUUAGGCCUUGUCUACACAACCAAGUUUGGAUGACAAAAACUGCCUUAUGUUGACAAAAAAUGUCCAUUUUUGGUGACAAAAUGCAACCAUCCCAACAAGAGACAUACAUCCUUUUCCUCUAAAUUUUUCUUAACAAAGUGCCAGCGUAGAUAAGACACCACACUUGAUUUCCAUCACUUUAAUUGACCUCUUGGAGGUGUCCCACAAUGCCCAUUGUGACCGCUCUGGUCAGCAGUUUGAACUCCACUGCUCUGCAGCCAGGUGACCAUGGCGGGUUAUCGCACCAAACGCUCUCCCCUUUGGACCACUGCUGAGCUGUUGGAUCUGAUCAGUAUAUGGGGAGAGGAGGCUGUGCAGUCACAGCUGUGCUUGAGCCGUAGGAAUUUUGAAACCUAUGGGCUUGUGCGAAAAGGGCUAUGAUCAGGACACGCUGCAGUGCAGAGUGAAGAUAAAGGAGCAGAGGCCGGCAUACCAUAAGGCAAGGGAGGCAAACCGUUGCUCUGGUGCUUCACCUAAGACCUGCCAGUUCUACAGGGAGCUGGACGCUAUCGUCAGUGGCAACCCCACCUCCACCACCUUGUGGGCUUGGAGGCCGCGGAAAGAGGACCUAACCCAGAGGAUGAAGUUAUUGAUGAAGAGCUGGAGUUAGAUGAGGAUGUGCAGCUCCCGGCGGGGUGACCCAGUGAGGCAGGCAGCCAGGAACUGUUCUCCGCUCCAGAGGUGUCUAGCCAGUCUCAGCAGUUGCUCUCCGGCAAGCAAGAAGCAGGAGCUGAGACUUCUGAUGUGGCCUUCAGGAACACCCCACACACCCCAGCUGAGUGUCUCCGCCAGAUAAGAAAUCACCCAAGACACAGCAAAGAAGACAUGUUCCGGGAGGUCCUGCAGUGCUCCAAUGCAGAGAAAAGGGAACGCACGGAGUGCUGGGAAGCCAAAUGGCAGGACAGAAAAGAGAAUCAGGAGUUUGUUAAGGACGCAACUGAGUGGAUGAUUACAGUAAUGGAGGGGCAACCGCAGAUGCUGAAGUCCUUGAUAAUGCUGCAGACUGCAGCACAUUCAGAACACUUUUCUAUGCCCUUCCCCUCCUCCCCCAAUUCUGCCUGUACAUUCCUUUCCACUUUCCGGAACUUCUCGGUUUCCCAUUCACUCCACCCCCUCAGACAACUUUUACAAUGAUAACUAGACCUACACACAGCUGUGAAAGUCUGCCCUUCCCUAGUUCCUCCUUUCCCACCAAGCAUCUUUGUGUGUUUGUGUGUGCUGUUUUUUGUGCAAUAAAAGCAAAGUUUUCAAAAGGUAACUCAGCUUUAUUUGUUUUCUAUAAAUUGAGAUUGCAGGCACUAUCAAUACAUGCACAGGCAUUCUAAUCAUUUGCUUACUGGCAUAUAAGGCCCCAAAUGUCGCCAUUGCAUCCUAGGAAAACUACAUGUAAUGUAACAUUGCAGCACCAAUCACGGAGAUAUGCAUUACUGCUUCUCAUUUUCAAAGUGUUGCCUCAAAGCCUCCCUGAUUCAAAUUGCUCCCUUCUGGUCACUUCUGAUAGCCCAGGUAUCUGGCUGCUCAAAAUCAGCAGCCAAGAGGU
Molecule: long non-coding RNA, 1652 nt
Organism: Chelonia mydas (Green sea turtle)
Lineage: Eukaryota; Metazoa; Chordata; Testudines; Cheloniidae
Exons: 3
Source: RefSeq, a predicted model, not a curated record